GGACUCCGCACAGAGCUUCAUAACCUCUUCAUGGACUUUUUAUCUUCAAGCCGAUGACGGAAAAAUAGUUAUAUUCCAGUCUAAGCCAGAAAUCCAGUACGCACCACAUUUGGAGCAGGAGCCUACAAAUUUGAGAGAAUCAUCUCUAAGCAAAAUGUCCUGUAAAUCUGCAAAUGAGAAAUUCACAAGCGCACAGGAAUUUUCUUGAAGAUGGAGAAAGUGAUGGCUUUUUAAGAUGCCUCUCUCUUAACUCUGGGUGGAUUUUAACUACAACUCUUGUCCUCUCGGUGAUGGUAUUGCUUUGGAUUUGUUGUGCAACUGUUGCUACAGCUGUGGAGCAGUAUGUUCCCUCUGAGAAGCUGAGUAUCUAUGGUGACUUGGAGUUUAUGAAUGAACAAAAGCUAAACAGAUAUCCAGCUUCUUCUCUUGUGGUUGUUAGAUCUAAAACUGAAGAUCAUGAAGAAGCAGGGCCUCUACCUACAAAAGUGAAUCUUGCUCAUUCUGAAAUUUAAGCAUUUUUCUUUUAAAAGACAAGUGUAAUAGACAUCUAAAAUUCCACUCCUCAUAGAGCUUUUAAAAUGGUUUCAUUGGAUAUAGGCCUUAAGAAAUCACUAUAAAAUGCAAAU
Molecule: long non-coding RNA, 626 nt
Filed under: Homo sapiens (human)
Lineage: Eukaryota; Metazoa; Chordata; Mammalia; Primates; Hominidae
Description: long non-coding RNA NONHSAT151627.1
Source: RNAcentral